GCAGCCUGCAACUCGGCUGCAUGAAGCUGGAAUCGCUAGUAAUCGCGGAUCAGAAUGCCGCGGUGAAUACGUUCCCGGGUCUUGUACACACCGCCCGUCACACCAUGGGAGCCGGGAAUGCCCGAAGUCAGUGGCCCAACCGCAGGGAGGGAGCUGCCGAAGGCAGGCCCGGUGACUGGGGUGAAGUCGUAACAAGGUAGC
Molecule: ribosomal RNA, 201 nt
Filed under: uncultured bacterium
Lineage: Bacteria
Description: partial 16S ribosomal RNA
Rfam family: Bacterial small subunit ribosomal RNA
Source: RNAcentral